Molecule: ribosomal RNA, 690 nt
Filed under: uncultured bacterium
Lineage: Bacteria
Description: bacterial SSU rRNA
Rfam family: Bacterial small subunit ribosomal RNA
Source: RNAcentral
AGUGGCGCACGGGUGCGUAACGCGUAUACACCUACCUUAUACAGGGGUAUAGCCCAGGGAAACUUGGAUUAACACCCCAUAGUUUGGCAUCAUUAAAACUACGGUGGUAUAAGAUGGGUAUGCGUCCCAUUAGCUUGUUGGUGUGGUAACGGCACACCAAGGCAACGAUGGGUAGGGGCCCUGAGAGGGGGAUCCCCCACACUGGUACUGAGACACGGACCAGACUCCUACGGGAGGCAGCAGUGAGGAAUAUUGGACAAUGGGCGGGAGCCUGAUCCAGCCAUGCCGCGUGCAGGAAGACUGCCUAUGGGUUGUAAACUGCUUUUAUACGGGAAGAAACCCACCUACGUGUAGGUGGCUGACGGUACCGUAAGAAUAAGGACCGGCUAACUCCGUGCCAGCAGCCGCGGUAAUACGGAGGGUCCGAGCGUUAUCCGGAAUCAUUGGGUUUAAAGGGUCCGCAGGCGGCCAGAUAAGUCAGUGGUGAAAUUCCGUGGCUCAACCACGGAACUGCCAUUGAUACUGUUUGGCUUGAAUCAGUUCGAGGAUGCCGGAAUGUGUGGUGUAGCGGUGAAUGCAUAGAUAUCACACAGAACACCAAUUGCGAAGCAGGUGUCCAGGACUGUAUGGACGCUGAUGACGAAGCCGUGGGUAGCGACCAGAAUUAGAAUAGCUGCUAGUACACGCCGA